This is a long non-coding RNA of Mizuhopecten yessoensis (Yesso scallop), 372 nucleotides long. RefSeq lists it as uncharacterized. NCBI's taxonomy places the organism in Eukaryota, Metazoa, Mollusca, Bivalvia, Pectinida, Pectinidae. The record is from RefSeq and is a predicted model, not a curated record. The transcript has 3 exons.
UGCACUAUAUUUCUGAUACUAUCACAAGUUUCCUAAGCCGUGUACAUAACGGUAUAACAUAUUACCAGUGCGCAAGGUCCGAAAUUCUUCAAGAUUGGUUAAACAGAAAUCUAAAACAACAGCUUUGUGUAAACAAGAGGGAGAGAAGCCAGGUCGCUGUCAAACAUGCGAUUCCACCUCCUUAUAACGGUAUAUCUGGCAGUAGCCUAUGGACUGUCACAAUCGACUGCAGCACGAACGACAAUCACAAAAAAGAUGGCUACUACAACCACACGUCUCACAACCACACCUACUACAAUAAAACCUUCUACAUUUACACGAAUUACAACAGCACAUACUGCAAUAAAACCUCCCACAACACCUACUACAACA